CACCACACCAAAUGUUUAGGGCAUCAACCCCAACAACACAUCGUUGGGCCAAUACACUUUUAAGUAACGACUCCUCUUUGGGAGCCCAGAAGUUCACUGCCCUCAUACACAUUUGACCAAAGGUUCAGCAACCAACACAUUCAAAACCUAUUUUAACUUAGUGAGUCUUUUUUUCCUCUAUUAAUGCAUAUAAAUUUCGAGAUAAAUUUUCCCAUACUCAUUCAAAGAUUCAAUCACUUAAAAUGCAAUUACUCUU
RNAcentral lists this long non-coding RNA (256 nucleotides) under Carica papaya (papaya). Its description in RNAcentral is "long non-coding RNA (CPAP_LNC012949)". Lineage: Eukaryota; Viridiplantae; Streptophyta; Magnoliopsida; Brassicales; Caricaceae. The record is from RNAcentral.